This 466-nucleotide ribosomal RNA is filed under the name uncultured Desulfobulbus sp. Its description in RNAcentral is "bacterial SSU rRNA". It matches the Rfam family "Bacterial small subunit ribosomal RNA", at positions 338 to 795 of the family's 1533-position model. Lineage: Bacteria; Pseudomonadati; Thermodesulfobacteriota; Desulfobulbia; Desulfobulbales; Desulfobulbaceae. The record is from RNAcentral.
CCUACGGGGGGCAGCAGUAGGGAAUAUUGCGCAAUGGACGGAAGUCUGACGCAGCGACGCCGCGUGAGCGAUGAAGGUCUUCGGAUCGUAAAGCUCUGUCAAGAGGAAAGAAGUGUACAAUGGCUAAUACCUGUUGUAUUUGACGGUACCUCUAAAGGAAGCACCGGCUAACUCCGUGCCAGCAGCCGCGGUAAUACGGAGGGUGCAAGCGUUGUUCGGAAUCACUGGGCGUAAAGGGCGCGUAGGCGGCGUGGUAAGUCAGAUGUGAAGGCCCACGGCUUAACUGUGGAAGUGCAUUUGAAACUGUCAGGCUUGAGUACCAGAGGGGAAAGUGGAAUUCCCGGUGUAGAGGUGAAAUUCGUAGAUAUCGGGAGGAAUACCGGUGGCGAAGGCGACUUUCUGGCUGGAUACUGACGCUGAGGCGCGAAAGCGUGGGGAGCAAACAGGAUUAGAUACCCGGGUAGUC